UACGUAGGGUGCGAGCGUUGUCCGGAAUUAUUGGGCGUAAAGGGCUCGUAGGCGGUCUGUCGCGUCGGGAGUGAAAACUCAGGGCUUAACCCUGAGCCUGCUUCCGAUACGGGCAGACUAGAGGUAUGCAGGGGAGAGCGGAAUUCCUGGUGUAGCGGUGGAAUGCGCAGAUAUCAGGAGGAACACCGGUGGCGAAGGCUGUUCUCUGGGCAUUACCUGACGCUGAGGAGCGAAAGUGUGGGGAGCGAACAGG
RNAcentral lists this ribosomal RNA (253 nucleotides) under uncultured bacterium. Its description in RNAcentral is "partial 16S ribosomal RNA". It matches the Rfam family "Bacterial small subunit ribosomal RNA", at positions 524 to 776 of the family's 1533-position model. The record is from RNAcentral.